This 504-nucleotide ribosomal RNA is filed under the name swine fecal bacterium FPC57. RNAcentral's name for it is "bacterial SSU rRNA". It matches the Rfam family "Bacterial small subunit ribosomal RNA", at positions 7 to 526 of the family's 1533-position model. The record is from RNAcentral.
GAGAGUUUGAUUCUGGCUCAGGACGAACGCUGGCGGCGUGCCUAACACAUGCAAGUCGAGCGAGGAGAUUCCCUUCGGGGAUGAACCUAGCGGCGGACGGGUGAGUAACACGUGGGCAACCUGCCUUAUAGAGGGGAAUAGCCUUCCGAAAGGAAGAUUAAUACCGCAUAACAUUACAUUUUCGCAUGAAGAAGUAAUUAAAGGAGUAAUCCGCUAUAAGAUGGGCCCGCGGCGCAUUAGCUAGUUGGUGAGGUAACGGCUCACCAAGGCGACGAUGCGUAGCCGACCUGAGAGGGUGAUCGGCCACAUUGGGACUGAGACACGGCCCAGACUCCUACGGGAGGCAGCAGUGGGGAAUAUUGCACAAUGGGGGAAACCCUGAUGCAGCAACGCCGCGUGAGUGAUGAAGGUCUUCGGAUCGUAAAGCUCUGUCUUCAGGGACGAUAAUGACGGUACCUGAGGAGGAAGCCACGGCUAACUACGUGCCAGCAGCCGCGGUAAUAC